GCAUUGGUUGUGUAGUGGUUGGCAUGGCUGCUUUCCAAGCAGUUCGUUUGGGUUCAAUUCCCAGCCGGCUCA
This 72-nucleotide transfer RNA is filed under the name Chelonia mydas (Green sea turtle). It matches the Rfam family "tRNA". From Rfam's summary of the family: Transfer RNA (tRNA) molecules are approximately 80 nucleotides in length. Their secondary structure includes four short double-helical elements and three loops (D, anti-codon, and T loops). Further hydrogen bonds mediate the characteristic L-shaped molecular structure. tRNAs have two regions of fundamental functional importance: the anti-codon, which is responsible for specific mRNA codon recognition, and the 3' end, to which the tRNAs corresponding amino acid is attached (by aminoacyl-tRNA synthetases). tRNAs cope with the degeneracy of the genetic code in two manners: having more than one tRNA (with a specific anti-codon) for a particular amino acid; and 'wobble' base-pairing, i.e. permitting non-standard base-pairing at the 3rd anti-codon position. The record is from Rfam by way of RNAcentral. Lineage: Eukaryota; Metazoa; Chordata; Testudines; Cheloniidae.